RNAcentral lists this ribosomal RNA (897 nucleotides) under uncultured Acidobacteriota bacterium. RNAcentral's name for it is "bacterial SSU rRNA". It matches the Rfam family "Bacterial small subunit ribosomal RNA", at positions 8 to 887 of the family's 1533-position model. Lineage: Bacteria; Pseudomonadati; Acidobacteriota. The record is from RNAcentral.
AGAGAUCAUGGCUCAGAAUCAACGCUGGCGGCGUGCCUAACACAUGCAAGUCGAACGCGAAAGGGGAGCAAUCCCUGAGUAGAGUGGCAAACGGGUGAGUAACACGUGGGUGACCUACCUUCGAGUGGGGGAUAACGUCCCGAAAGGGACGCUAAUACCGCAUGACAUCCUGCUCUUGGAAGAGCGGAGAUCAAAGCCGGGGAUCGCAAGACCUGGCGCUUGAUGAGGGGCCCGCGCCUGAUUAGCUAGUUGGUGGGGUAACGGCCUACCAAGGCGACGAUCAGUAUCCGGCCUGAGAGGGCGGACGGACACACUGGGACUGAGACACGGCCCAGACUCCUACGGGAGGCAGCAGUGGGGAAUUGUUCGCAAUGGGCGCAAGCCUGACGACGCAACGCCGCGUGGAGGACGAAGAUCUUCGGGUCGUAAACUCCUGUCGAGCGGGAAGAACAUCCUUUGGGCGAAUAUCCUGAAGGACUGACGGUACCGCUAAAGGAAUCCCCGGCUAACUCCGUGCCAGCAGCCGCGGUAAUACGGGGGGGGCAAGCGUUGUUCGGAAUUACUGGGCGUAAAGGGCUCGUAGACGGCCAACUAAGUCAGAUGUGAAAUCCCCAGGCUCAACCUGGGAACUGCAUCUGAUACUGGAUGGCUUGAAUUCGGGAGAGGGAUGCAGAAUUCCAGGUGUAGCGGUGAAAUGCGUAGAUAUCUGGAGGAAUACCGGUGGCGAAAGCGGCAUCCUGGACCGACAUUGACGCUGAGGAGCGAAGGCUAGGGGAGCAAACGGGAUUAGAUACCCCGGUAGUCCUAGCCCUAAACGAUGAAUGCUUGGUGUAGCGGGUAUCGAUCCCUGCUGUGCCGAAGCUAACGCAUUAAGCAUUCCGCCUGGGGAGUACGGUC